GGUUCUAUGGCGCAAUUGGUUAGCGCGUCCGGCUGUUACUGGCCCCAAGCUGGUGAACAAAUACCGGGAGGUUGAAAGUUCGAGUCUUUCUAGUACCG
This is a non-coding RNA of Terfezia claveryi, 98 nucleotides long. The record is from the annotation of a GenBank genome assembly. NCBI's taxonomy places the organism in Eukaryota, Fungi, Ascomycota, Pezizomycetes, Pezizales, Pezizaceae.